This 492-nucleotide ribosomal RNA is filed under the name uncultured bacterium. RNAcentral describes it as "bacterial SSU rRNA". It matches the Rfam family "Bacterial small subunit ribosomal RNA", at positions 30 to 515 of the family's 1533-position model. The record is from RNAcentral.
AUUGAACGCUGGCGGCAUGCCUUACACAUGCAAGUCGAACGGCAGCACGGGAGCAAUCCUGGUGGCGAGUGGCGAACGGGUGAGUAAUAUAUCGGAACGUGCCCAGUCGUGGGGGAUAACUACUCGAAAGAGUGGCUAAUACCGCAUACGAUCUACGGAUGAAAGCGGGGGAUCGCAAGACCUCGCGCGAUUGGAGCGGCCGAUAUCAGAUUAGGUAGUUGGUAGGGUAAAAGCCUACCAAGCCUGCGAUCUGUAGCUGGUCUGAGAGGACGACCAGCCACACUGGAACUGAGACACGGUCCAGACUCCUACGGGAGGCAGCAGUGGGGAAUUUUGGACAAUGGGCGCAAGCCUGAUCCAGCAAUGCCGCGUGCAGGACGAAGGCCUUCGGGUUGUAAACUGCUUUUGUACGGAGCGAAAAGGUCUCUACUAAUACUAGGGGCUCAUGACGGUACCGUAAGAAUAAGCACCGGCUAACUACGUGCCAGCACG